AUGGAAUUUAGGGGCUUUGUGCAAAUCUUGGUUUCGCCCUGCAUUUUAAAUGUCUGCUUGGUUUGUGUUAGCCGGAAGUACAUUGUAUGGAUUUCAUUUGGCAUGCUUGGUUUCUGCGAACUUUGUACAACUUCGGUGGUAGUGAUCUCUGAACUGCGCUGGAGCAAAUUCGCCUUGGUACAGUUGUUGGACGACGAAACACAACUCAAGUCGACAGCGAAUCCAACAGCUGCAUUGUAUUUGCAACUUGUACCACAUCUUAUGAUUGAUCGAAACCAAAUGUGGUGGAUGGCACGUCGCUAUGCUAUGAUGAUCAAUUGUUGGGCACAUGGUUGGCGCCAGCUCGUUGAACUAUUAUUCUUUUUCCCUUUUCAACCUGUCAGUUGUUUACAUCAAAGCAUAAGCCGUUGA
RNAcentral lists this ribosomal RNA (411 nucleotides) under Triticum aestivum (bread wheat). RNAcentral describes it as "partial small subunit ribosomal RNA". The record is from RNAcentral. Lineage: Eukaryota; Viridiplantae; Streptophyta; Magnoliopsida; Poales; Poaceae.